GCAUCGAUGGUUCAGUGGUAGAAUGCUCGCCUGCCACGUGGGCGGCCCGGGUUCGAUUCCCGGCCGAUGCC
RNAcentral lists this transfer RNA (71 nucleotides) under Cordylochernes scorpioides. RNAcentral describes it as "tRNA-Gly". It matches the Rfam family "tRNA". From Rfam's summary of the family: Transfer RNA (tRNA) molecules are approximately 80 nucleotides in length. Lineage: Eukaryota; Metazoa; Arthropoda; Arachnida; Pseudoscorpiones; Chernetidae. The record is from RNAcentral.